UAGCUACAGGCUUAACACAUGCAAGUCGAGGGGAAACGACAUCGAAAGCUUGCUUUUGAUGGGCGUCGACCGGCGCACGGGUGAGUAACGCGUAUCCAACCUGCCCACCACUUGGGGAUAACCUUGCGAAAGUAAGACUAAUACCCAAUGACGUCUCUAGAAGACAUCUGAAAGAGAUUAAAGAUUUAUCGGUGAUGGAUGGGGAUGCGUCUGAUUAGCUUGUUGGCGGGGUAACGGCCCACCAAGGCGACGAUCAGCAGGGGUUCUGAGAGGAAGGUCCCCCACAUUGGAACUGAGACACGGUCCAAACUCCUACGGGAGGCAGCAGUGAGGAAUAUUGGUCAAUGGGCGAGAGCCUGAACCAGCCAAGUAGCGUGCAGGAUGACGGCCCUAUGGGUUGUAAACUGCUUUUAUAAGGGAAUAAAGUGAGUCUCGUGAGACUUUUUGCAUGUACCUUAUGAAUAAGGACCGGCUAAUUCCGUGCCAGCAGCCGCGGUAAUACGGAAGGUCCGGGCGUUAUCCGGAUUUAUUGGGUUUAAAGGGAGCGUAGGCCGGAGAUUAAGCGUGUUGUGAAAUGUAGAUGCUCAACAUCUGAACUGCAGCGCGAACUGGUUUCCUUGAGUACGCACAAAGUGGGCGGAAUUCGUGGUGUAGCGGUGAAAUGCUUAGAUAUCACGAAGAACUCCGAUUGCGAAGGCAGCUCACUGGAGCGCAACUGACGCUGAAGCUCGAAAGUGCGGGUAUCGAACAGGAUUAGAUACCCUGGUAGUCCGCACGGUAAACGAUGGAUGCCCGCUGUUGGUCUGAAUAGGUCAGCGGCCAAGCGAAAGCAUUAAGCAUCCCACUUGGGGAGUACGCCGGCAACGGUGAAACUCAAAG
RNAcentral lists this ribosomal RNA (879 nucleotides) under uncultured bacterium. Its description in RNAcentral is "bacterial SSU rRNA". It matches the Rfam family "Bacterial small subunit ribosomal RNA", at positions 37 to 906 of the family's 1533-position model. The record is from RNAcentral.